RNAcentral lists this long non-coding RNA (500 nucleotides) under Nicotiana benthamiana. RNAcentral describes it as "long non-coding RNA (NBEN_LNC013874)". The record is from RNAcentral. Lineage: Eukaryota; Viridiplantae; Streptophyta; Magnoliopsida; Solanales; Solanaceae.
AUAAUGAGAGGUCAGGUGUGUUGCUGAGAAAAAUGCCAAGCUUAAAAGUGCCUCUAAGAUAUCUCAGGGUAUGCAAAGCUACAUGCAUAUGAGAGGAGGUAGGCUUCUGAAGAUAUUGACUCAUAUGCAAGAUAUCUCAGGGUAUGCAAAGCUGCAUGCAUAUGAGAGGAGGUAGGUUUCUUAAGAUAUUGACUUAAAUGCUGGACAGCAAAGGCCAAGUCAGGUCUAGUGUGGGUGAGAAAAUUGAGUUUCUCCACUAAGCACCUAUAGGAUUCAGGAGAGGGAAGAGGAUCCCCCAAAUCCAGUUUGAGUUUAACAGAGAGGUCAAGAGGGCAAGUAACAGGAGAAACAUCCUCACAGUGAUAGGCUUUGAGCAGGUCAAUGAUAAACUUCUUCUGGUAGAGAAGAAGCCCAUCAGAGUGAUAACUGACCUCAAUUCCAAGAAAAUAGUUGAGGACCCCCAAGUCCUUGAUUUUAAAAUCAUGAUCCAGAAAGCUUUU